GUAAUACGUAGGUGGCAAGCGUUGUCCGGAUUUAUUGGGCGUAAAGCGAGCGCAGGCGGUUUUUUAGGUCUGAUGUGAAAGCCUUCGGCUUAACCGGAGAGGGGCAUCGGAAACCGGGAGACUUGAGUGCAGAAGAGGACAGUGGAACUCCAUGUGUAGCGGUGAAAUGCGCAGAUAUAUGGAAGAACACCAGUGGCGAAGGCGGCUGUCUGGUCUGUAACUGACGCUGAGGCUCGAAAGCAUGGGUAGCGAACAGGAUUAGAUACCCUGGUAGUCCAUGCCGUAAACGAUGAGUGCUAAGUGUUGGAGGGUUUCCGCCCUUCAGUGCUGCAGCUAACGCAUUAAGCACUCCGCCUGGGGAGUACGACCGCAAGGUUGAAACUCAAAGGAAUUGACGGGGGCCCGCACAAGCGGUGGAGCAUGUGGUUUAAUUCGAUGCUACGCGAAGGACCUUACCAGGUCUUGACAUCUUCUGCUAACCUAAGAGAUUAGGCGUUCCCUUCGGGGACGGAAUGACAGGUGGUGCAUGGUUGUCGUCAGCUCGUGUCGUGAGAUGUUGGGUUAAGUCCCGCAACGAGCGCAACCCUUAUUGUCAGUUGCCAGCAUUCAGUUGGGCACUCUGGCGAGACUGCCGGUGACAAACCGGAGGAAGGUGGGGAUGACGUCAAAUCAUCAUGCCCCUUAUGACCUGGGCUACACACGUGCUACAAUGGACGGUACAACGAGUCGCGAAACCGCGAGGUCAAGCUAAUCUCUGAAAGCCGUUCUCAGUUCGGAUUGCAGGCUGCAACUCGCCUGCAUGAAGUUGGAAUCGCUAGUAAUCGUGGAUCAGCAUGCCACGGUGAAUACGUUCCCGGGCCUUGUACACACCGCCCGUCACACCAUGAGAGUUUGUAACACCCAAAGCCGGUGAGGUAACCUUCGGGAACCAGCCGUCUAAGGUGGGACAGAUGAUUAGGGUGAAGUCGUAACAAGGUAGCCGUAGGAGAACCUGCGGCUGGAUCACCUCCUUUCAA
Molecule: ribosomal RNA, 1016 nt
Filed under: uncultured bacterium
Lineage: Bacteria
Description: bacterial SSU rRNA
Rfam family: Bacterial small subunit ribosomal RNA
Source: RNAcentral